Molecule: long non-coding RNA, 423 nt
Filed under: Pongo abelii (Sumatran orangutan)
Lineage: Eukaryota; Metazoa; Chordata; Mammalia; Primates; Hominidae
Description: lincRNA
Source: RNAcentral
GAGGCAAUGAGGACACCCUGGCAGGGCAGCUGAGCUGGGUGGAUCCUUGUUCUGUCACCAAGCCUUUAAGUCAUAUGCUGACAUGUUACGGUCCUGCCUGGGACCCUGCCCACAAAUACUUAAGAUACACGACUUUGGGAAUCACCCAACUGAUGGAAAGAACCAGGAAAGGAGUCAGGAUCUGCACAUUGGCAAACUUUGAAGAACACCCAAUUUGACGAAUGAAAACUCCUCACUUGUGCUCUGGUGGUGUUUUAGGACAAAGGGCCCCUCCUGGACGCUCUAGUGAAGCCCCAUAUCACCUUUUUCCUUCCUGUUUGCCAUAGCUCCAGGUGUAGGGACAGAUCAGAAGAUUCUGGAAAAGGCAGAUCACCAAAGAACUCAAGACGUACUGAUAUUUUGCCAAUUUCCUUCAUCAACAAC